GUCAGUAAUUUCUCCCCUAGCAAGAAUGAGGAAGAUGAAGAGCUCGGGUAUCUGAGGGCUGGUGUGUCUGCAUGCGUGUGUGUUUUGGGGGCCGACUGAAGGAAGAGAAGGCUGGAGAGAGGGAACAUGGGUCUGAGGGCACAUCGCUAAGGGGUCAAGAGGCCUAAAGGAGGAGUCUAAGGCUCUCCAUCGAACUUGGACUUGGUCUACAUUAGACUUUAACCUCCAUGAGGCUUGGACUUUCAGGCUUCCUCCCUCACACCGCGGGCAGGUGAGGCGUCUGCUACAGGCCUGGUCUCGCAGAGGGGGCCCAGCGCCCCCCGCCGCCGCCUUCUCCUGGAGUCUGUGUGACAGAAUGGGACCUGUGGGAAAGCAGCACGUCAGCACCCAGCCCCGCUUGCGCGCCAGCAGCUAAUUAAAGCCAGGAAGGUGAUGGCGAUUUUCAACUCAUUCCCGUUACAAACAGCCGACCUUCCUACCGAGUUCAAGUACCUUCUGCCUGGCCUGGAAGAACAAUAUCUCUCUGUCUCCCUCUUCCACUGGCCCUCACCUGCCUUCCCCUGAACAUGCAUUUUGCCUGACAGGAGACAGAGGCAGUUGAUGCUUGCAGCUUGGUCCAGGAGGCCAGCAGGACCAGAGAGAAGACCACAGCGACACAUGGGGAUGGCUGUCCCACAGGCAGAAAUGAGCAGCCGGGAGGAAGCCCAGGCAGCCAGCCACCCAGCUCCCUCCACAUCGUGGCCCUAGAACGGAGUCUUGAAGAAUAAGAAGCCACAGCUUGUCAGGGAAUCAGGCUGGAAAAAUGUUAUGAGACUGAGUAAGACCAGAGUUUCUGGGUCAUUGGUGAGACUGGAUUUCAUAGAAGAGUCUUUGCUACAGCAAAACCUCUCUUCAAGCAAUACACUAUUCAAGCUGCUGGAGGCUAGAUUGACCAGAAAAAUGGGGCCAAUAUCAUGAUUCCUCAGCAGUGCCUGGAGAAGACCAGGAGAGGAAGCAGAAGACCCUCCUCAAAGAAGCAGCCUUCACCUCCAGACCUCCCAGCGGGACUUAGACAAUGGGGUUAGGCAGUCACAUGUCUGCACGUGGAAACUUUCUGGGACUGUGCUUGGAUCCUGGCUCUGCCUUUUACUAGCCAUGUGACCUUGGGAAAAUCACUUGACUUCUCCGUGCAGGAUUCCUCAUCUGUAAAAAUGGUCUAAGAUUAGGAGCCACCUCAAGGUUGUUGUAGGAAUUAAAUUAAUUCAUGUUUAUAAAGUGCUUUGAACAGCGUUUGGCACAUGGAGAAUUAAAUGAGCAAACGGAAGAGCAGCAACCCUGAGUUACAUUUCUCAAGACACCGGGGCUCUUGAUGGCACAGCAGCAGCUUGCUAGAGCUUGGUAAAGAGACUUGGGCCUGGUACCUGAAGGGCAAUUCCUUGGCCAUGACAUUGUAGGGAAAGACCUCUAUGGGUGUUGAAAAGACAAGGCGAGGACAAGAAGAGUUGAAAAGGAGCUGUUCUGAAGCCACCUGGCUGUGGAUGGAGGAAGCCACAUGUAGCUUAGGUAGCCUGCUAUUGUAAUUUUUUCUGCAACUGAAGAAUUCGAAAUGGGUUUGGUGGGUAGCGAAGGGCAGAAUCUGGCUUCAAGGUGACAGAGUUUGCAUAGAGAUGGCCUUCUUGAGCAAAGGUAGUGACUCCUACAUUUUUUUUUUUUGUAGAGUUGUGAUACCCAUGAGUUAGUCAGCUUGGGCUAUCAUAACAAAAUACCACACAUUGGUUGGCUUAAACAACAGAAAUUCAUUUUCCUGUAAUUCUGGAGGCUGGAAGUCCAAGAUCAAGGUGACGACAGAGUUGGGUUUCCUCUGAAGCCUCUCUCCUUGGUUUUCAGAUGGGUGUCCUCUUGCUGUCUCUUCAUGUGACUGUCCCUCUGCAUGUGUGCCCCUGGGGACUCUUUCUUAUCUUAUAGUGACACUAGUUCUAUUGGAUUGAAGUGUACCCAUACGACCUCAUUUAAACUUAAUUACAUAUUGUAAGGCCCUAACUUCAAAUACAGUCACAUCCUGAGGUACUGUGUAUUAGGGCUUCAACAUAUAAAUUUUGGGGCAAUCCAGUUCAGCCCAUAAAAUCCCUUUUUGGUUGCUUGAUUCUGUUUAUUUGGUGUCAUGCCUUCCUUUUCCUAAAGAACUUCAUGAAUAGAAUUACUUUCUAAGUGAAAGGAACAAAACUGAUUUUUAUUAAAAAUUAUUUUGAGAUGCUUGUGACAAAUUUUGAAGUAAGUGAAGAUUUUCCUGGAGCUUCUACAAAAUCCUGGCUGAGAAUCCCUGCUUUCUGGACAGUUGAGAAGGAAAUACACUUAGUACAGCUGUUAGAGAGAUAUAGUUGCAACCACUGAGUGCUUAUUAUCUGCCAACUUAAAUAUAUUGCCCAAGGGAAUAACAAAUAUUCUAGUGUUCUUGUUAAGUAUAUUGUCUAAGGUCACACAGCUCUUAAACAACAGCUUCAGGAUUUGAACCUGGAAUCUAUCUGACUCCUAAGUCCAGAUGCUGUUCACCACAUUAGGUUGAAGCAUGGCCAGUGUUCAUAACAUACAACUAUGUCUCCAUAUCUUUUGCUAACCAAUGUUCUUGUAUGUGCAUACCUUACAGGGCAGCCAUUCACCACAAGCCCUACUAGAUGGCUUCCUGUAAUAAGGGUAGAACAGUAGUACUCUCCUUUUGAGAAGUUAUUUGUAAUUUUGUUGGUGGGCUGACAUUUAGGCCCUGCUCUCCAGCCCCAGAGGGGAUCCCAUAACCUAGAUCAGGCCAAUGAUGAUUAUCUCCGUGACUGUAGUGGCUGGUCCAGCGGGGAGGGUCAGGCAGGUAAGCUGGCCCAACCUGAGUCCUUCUUGAGGAUUUUAGAAACUGAAGGUAGGAGAGAAAAAUUCUCUCUUUUCUUCUGGGGAACGGGAUGAAGGUGGUGGGUAGGCAGAGCUGUUGGGAUGUGGAUCCAGGGAUUCUGGAAGUCCUGUCCUCCACCAUGUAAAGAAUACAUCCUGCAGAAGGAGAGAAGGGAGCCAGCACACAGAGAAGCAGAGUCAGGAGAUGGAGAAGGAGAAUCCUGAGAGCCUGAAGGUCCCUGGGUCCAGCCAUUGUCAAGGCCGAGUUCUACCGUCCUUAAGUUGUUUACCUUUCUUUCUUGCUUGCUUCUGUUAGAAGAUGAACACUCAAUGAAAAAUCACCAAACAUCUGAGGAAAGCCAUCAAAAUGAAAUAAACGAAACACACAAGUUCCUAAACACAAGUGAACAGCGUGGGCUGGGUUUUUGUCGCUUGGAACUGGAAACGCUGACGAUAAUGCUGACCUCUGAGCAGACCCACGUGAGGGGCAGCUGUGGUGUGGUGUGAUGAUGCUGGGAUAGGCACUCAGAUGGUUGAGUCUGAGUUUGGCUCUGAUAUUAUAUCAACUGCAUGGGCAGCUGUGGUGUGGUGUGAUGAUGCUGGGAUAGGCACUCAGAUGGUUGAGUCUGAGUUUGGCUCUGAUAUUAUAUCAACUGCAUGGGCAGCUGUGGUGUGGUGUGAUGAUGCUGGGAUAGGCACUCAGAUGGUUGAGUCUGAGUUUGGCUCUGAUAUUAUAUCAACUGCAUGGGCAGCUGUGGUGUGGUGUGAUGAUGCUGGGAUAGGCACUCAGAUGGUUGAGUCUGAGUUUGGCUCUGAUAUUAUAUCAACCGCAUCAUUUUGGGGAAGACACAAUUUCUCAGAAUUUUAUUUAGUUGUAAAAUAAAGAUAAUGAUAUUACA
Long non-coding RNA from Homo sapiens (human), 3752 nucleotides. RefSeq annotates it as long independently transcribed non-coding RNA 1605. The transcript is spliced from 6 exons. NCBI's taxonomy places the organism in Eukaryota, Metazoa, Chordata, Mammalia, Primates, Hominidae. The record is from RefSeq and is marked validated.